Molecule: small RNA, 937 nt
Filed under: Pan troglodytes (chimpanzee)
Lineage: Eukaryota; Metazoa; Chordata; Mammalia; Primates; Hominidae
Description: retained intron
Source: RNAcentral
CACGGAUGAAAUUCAAGUUUCUGCUAAAAAUAGAAGUAUCCUUGAGUCAGGAAGGGAACAAGUGGAGGAAGAUAAGCAUCCUGAAAGAAGGGGAGAAUUUUGCAUGGCCUUUAUCUGGUUUUGAUUAGUGGCAAAUGUACUAGAAGCUGUGCCUGCAGUUUGUGGUGAAGGUGCUGGAUGUGGAGUUGGUUUGUGAGGCCCUGCAGGUGGCCGUAACCUUUGGCCUGGGGCAGCUGCAGGAGCGCUGCGUGGCUUUCAUAGAGGCCCACAGCCAGGUACUGCUCCCUUCAUACUCCUCACCCUACGCACCGCAUUCUGCUCCUCCCUGACCCAUUUGCCGGCUCGCAGGAGGCCCUCCGGACCCGAGGCUUCCUGGAGCUGUCGGCGGCGGCGCUGCUGCCCCUGCUCCGCAGCGACAAGCUCUGCGUGGACGAGGCGGAACUGGUCCGCGCGGCCCGAAGCUGGGCGCGCGUGGGCGCGGCGGUGCUGGAGCGGCCGGUGGCUGAGGUGGCGGCCCCGGUGGUGAAAGAGCUGAGACUAGCCUUGCUGGCCCCGGCGGAGCUGAGCGCCCUGGAAGAGCAGAACCGGCAGGAACCACUCAUCCCGGUGGAGCAGAUUGUGGAGGCGUGGAAAUGCCAUGCCCUGCGGAGAGGGGAUGAGGCCCGGGGCGCCCCGUGUCGCCGCCGGAGAGGCACCCUGCCCCGGGAGCAUCACCGCUCUCUGGACCUGUCCUUCAAAUGAUCCAACGCCAGGACUCGCAGGGAGCCCUCGACCCGCCCAGCUGAGCCUGCCCCAAACUACAGCUCCCGAAGUGCUCGGCGUUCGGAGCGGGCUUCCGUUCCCAGCGUGCCCAGUGAGCCGGGCGCCGGAAGAACCAUUGUCUGCCACGCGCAGCCCCUUCUUGUGCGGGAUCAAGCUCGUGUGGGCGAGGUGGGGU